Molecule: non-coding RNA, 352 nt
Organism: Syntrophomonas wolfei subsp. wolfei
Lineage: Bacteria; Bacillati; Bacillota; Clostridia; Eubacteriales; Syntrophomonadaceae
Rfam family: transfer-messenger RNA
About the family: Bacterial tmRNA, also known as 10Sa RNA or SsrA, is named for its dual tRNA and mRNA-like properties. Its role is to liberate the mRNA from a stalled ribosome. To accomplish this part of the tmRNA is used as a reading frame that ends in a translation stop signal.
Source: Rfam
GGGGGCGUACUGGUUUCGACGGGGGAUAAGAUGGGUUGAGCAGCGAGCCGAGUUGUCGCCAGCUCGUUAAAAAGGUGAAAACUUAAAUUAACUGCAGAAGAUAAUUUUGCAUUAGCCGCUUAAGCGGCUCGUCCGGCCAGGUUUCCUAACGGCCUGGUGCAGGGCGUCACUUAGUUAGGGUACCCUUAAGCCUUCUUUCUCGAGGGGUUUUAUGGGGAAAACAAUCGGGGAUAGCUUGAAGGGAGCCUGUCCGCGGGCGCCCGGAUGGCGAAGCUCAAAACACGGACUGCGCUCGGAGAUACUCAGCUGGUCUUUCUUGCGGACGGGGGUUCGACUCCCCCCGCCUCCACCA